RNAcentral lists this ribosomal RNA (379 nucleotides) under uncultured bacterium. Its description in RNAcentral is "partial 16S ribosomal RNA". It matches the Rfam family "Bacterial small subunit ribosomal RNA", at positions 338 to 734 of the family's 1533-position model. The record is from RNAcentral.
CCUACGGGAGGCAGCAGUGGGGAAUAUUGCACAAUGGGGGCAACCCUGAUGCAGCGAUGCCGCGUGAGUGAAGAAGGACUUCGGUAUGUAAAGUUCUAUCAGCAGGGAAGAAAAUGAUGGUAUUUGAACAUGAAGUCCUGGCCAUUUACGUGCCAGCAGCCGCGGUAAUACGCAGGGGGCAAGCGUUAUUCGGAUUUACUGGGUGUAAAGGGAACGUAGAUGGCUGGACAAGUCUGGAGUGAAAUGCCGGGGCUUAACCCCGGAACUGCUUUGGAAACUGGGCAGCUAGAGUGCAGGAGAGGUGAGUAGAAUUCCAGGUGUAGCGGUGAAAUGCGUAGAGAUUAGGAGGAACACCAGUGGCGAAGGCGGCUUACUGGAC